AUACGGAGGAUCCAAGCGUUAUCCGGACUUAUUGGGUUUAAAGGGAGCGCAGGCGGAGAUGCAAGCGUGACGUCAAAUUUCGGGGCUCAACCCCGUCUCGCGUCGCGAACUGCGUCCCUUGGUUGCGGGAAGGGGAGGCGGAACUCGUGGUGUAGCGGUGAAAUGCAUAGAUAUCACGAAGAACUCCGAUCGCGAAGGCAGCCUUCCGGCCCGUCAACGACGCUCAUGCUCGAAGGUGCGGGUAUCAAACAGGAUUAGAUACCCUGGUAGUCCGCACAGUAAACGAUGGACACCCGCGGUUUGGCCUAUAUGGCUGAGCCGCCAAGCGAAAGCGUUAAGUGUCCCACCUGGGGAGUACGCCGGCAACGGUGAAACUCAAAUGAAUUGACGGGG
This 393-nucleotide ribosomal RNA is filed under the name uncultured bacterium. RNAcentral describes it as "partial 16S ribosomal RNA". It matches the Rfam family "Bacterial small subunit ribosomal RNA", at positions 523 to 918 of the family's 1533-position model. The record is from RNAcentral.